Long non-coding RNA from Panthera uncia (snow leopard), 1144 nucleotides. RefSeq lists it as uncharacterized. The record is from RefSeq and is a predicted model, not a curated record. The transcript is spliced from 2 exons. Lineage: Eukaryota; Metazoa; Chordata; Mammalia; Carnivora; Felidae.
UGUGUGUGCACGCUAACGUUCGCGUCACGAGUCGGUAGGUGGUGGCUUCGGAGUGACCGUGUGGAGCCUGCGGCGGGGCCUGCUCAGUUAGCCUGUGAAGGACUCUGACCCGGAAUCACCCUCCAGGCGUCCCUUCCAUAAGCGCGUUCAAUCUCAUUACCGAAAUCGAACCAGGAGGCUUGUGAAUUAACGUCUUAGAAACUAUAUAUUUUUUGGUAAACUAGGAGGCACUGAAGAUCCGUGGCGGCCCCGAAAACUACGCGCUCCACCCUCCUCGCUUGGGUGAGGGUGUGGGACCCAGCAUGUCCCCUCCCGAGCGAGGCUCUGGGUCUAGCACUGCACGCAAUCGCAUGUGCCCUCCGCCGGAUGAAGGACUGGCCACCCCGGCCACCAGGACUAGCCUGCGUGAGCCUUUCCUGCUAGGGUGUCCUCAGGGUGCCCAAGGGCAAGGUCGGCGGUGCCACUGUGGGCUCCUUGACUCACAACCACAGACAUGUGGCAGCGACCCACCUGUGGUGUCUUCCUUAACCAUACCCCUGGGAGUGAGGUUUAGGGAGAGGGGACCAUACAGCCCUGUCUACCUCUGACAGAUGGGGCCACGGACGUUUGUAAUGAACGGACAAGCGCUGAAUGAGAGAAGUGGCCCACGGCGUCCGGCAGCAUGUGGUCUGUGGAGGGACCAACAUGUGUCGGUCUGCUACCUCCUAUCCGCUGAGCACUUUGCAGAAUCUGACAUCCUUCGCACGGAGGUGAGUCUCCCAUGUGAAAGAUGCCCUUCCAGAACCCAGAGAAAAGAACUCUCAUCAUCAAGUGAGGGCAGGGGGAGUGGAGGCUGAGAGGAACCAGCAAGCAGAUCUGAGAAAAAUAACUCCUCUUCCUCAGUCUCUCCAUGUAUUUGUUUCCACAACUGCCUCUCUUGGUUCAAUCUAGCAGAAAAGCAUUUCGAGGGGCGCCUGCAUGGCUCAGACGGUUGAGCGUCUGACUCUUGAUUUCGGCUCAGGUCAUGAUCUCGUGGUCCGUGAGUCCGGGCUCUGCACUGACAGUGCGGAGUCUGCUUGGGAUUCUGUCUGUUUCUGUCUCUCUCUGUCUCUCUCUCUCUCUCUCUCUCUCUCUCAAUAAAUAAACUAUUUAAAACAAAAAAGCA